Molecule: ribosomal RNA, 482 nt
Filed under: uncultured bacterium
Lineage: Bacteria
Description: partial 16S ribosomal RNA
Rfam family: Bacterial small subunit ribosomal RNA
Source: RNAcentral
AUUGAACGCUAGCGGCAUGCUCUACACAUGCAAGUCGAACGGUAACAGGCCGCAAGGUGCUGACGUGUGGCGGACGGGCGUGUAAUGCAUCGGAACGGGCCCAGCCGAGGGGGCUAACUUCCCGAAAGAGUAUCUAAUACCGCAUACGAUCUAUGGAUGAUAGCGGGGUACCGCAAGGCCCCCCCCGAUUGGAGCGGCCGAUGUCAGAUUAGGUAGUUGGUGGGGUAAAGGCUCACCAAGCCAACGAUCUGUACCUGGUCUGAGAGGACGACCAGCCACACUGGGACUGAGACACGGCCCAGACUCCUAAGGGAGGCAGCAGUAGGGAAUUUUGGACAAUGGGCGCAAGCCUGAUCCAGCAACGCGGCGUGCAGGAAGAAGGCCUUAGGGUGGUAAAAUGCGUUUGUACGGGACGAAACGGCUCUGGUUAAUACCCGGCGAUAAUGACGGUACCGGAAGAAUAAGCACCGGCUAACUACGUG